This 9707-nucleotide long non-coding RNA is filed under the name Coffea arabica (coffee). Its description in RNAcentral is "long non-coding RNA (CARA_LNC003471)". Lineage: Eukaryota; Viridiplantae; Streptophyta; Magnoliopsida; Gentianales; Rubiaceae. The record is from RNAcentral.
UUUUUUUUUUUUUUUUGGUUAAAGAGGACAGCCCUCAUCGUUAUUAUUCAUCGUUAUUAUUGUUGUUACUUAUCAAAUGUUUGUCAGAACAUCUUUAAGAUAAAAAUGUCAACAACAUUCAUGCUACAUAUUUUUUCUUGGAUUUCUUUCUAAAUUUAACAGAAUAUUGUAUAAUACCUUAAAACUUGAAAUUUAUAAUCUCAGCAAAAACUUACCUAUUCUACUUUGGCCAUAUAUUGCUUUCUAGGAAGAAAUGGAUGUGCAAUUUGAAAAUUUCCCAAAAUGGCUCGACUCCUUCUUGCAAAGGACCUUUUUUGGAUCUUGCUUGAACCAUGAGCUGCAAAAGAAUGAAUUGAAUAGGUACUGCAUCACUUGUGAUCUAGAUGCUUGCAGGUAUUGUAUCUCAUCUGGUCUACAUAACGAACACACGCUACUCAAAAUACAUCGGCAUGUCUACAAAGAUGUUGUCCCCUUGGAUGAGAUGGAGACUCAUAUGGAUUGCACCAAGAUCCAGGUAGUUUGAAUUAAUUUUAAAAGUAAUAGACAUAUGAACUAUAUUAGUUUUCAUUUUUGGUUCCAUGAAAAAUGUGAAUUAUAAGGCUUUCAAUUUUCAACCUUGUCCAAGUAGCUUUUCGGGCCAAUAGGUCUAUGGAAAAUUUAUAUCUCAUCUAUGCUUUUGAUCUUGCCUUAUUUUUCUCUUGUAUUUAGAAAGACCUUCAUUCUACUUAUAUAAAUUGCUCUACCCUCAUAUCCAAAAGUUGGAUGAUCUAUAAGAUAUACAAUUUUUAUUUUGAAAGACAACUAAUUUCUUUUCGUUAUAAAGAAUUUAGUCCUAGAACUUUUCAGGGCAAAAAAUCUGAAUUGCAUUCAAACUAUUAAGUUGAUCAACUUUUAACCCUUCAACAAUUAAGUAUAUAUUUUUACCCUCGAACUAGUAAAAUGUUAUAUUCCCCACCCUUUUGGCUAGAGACAAUUUUGAAAAUUUCCUCAAGAUUUAUGUUAAUAUUACUUGGCACAUUUAGAGUUUCAAAAAUAUCACUAAUCUCACCUAAAACUGUACCUUUUGUAACAAUCUCACCUUGUAUCAUUAAUAAGAGAGAUGUAUUUUCCUCCCAAUUCUACCUUUCUAUAUUGUCUUAUGCCGAAUUUUCUACCAAAUUGAUUAUAAUAUCAGAUGUUUUGCCUAAAAAUUUUCUUUUCUGUAAUAUUUUGCCUAAAAAUUGUUAAAGUAGUGAAGAUAGUUUUGUGAAUUCUCGUGCUAUGAUAGUGAUUAAUAAUCCCAUCUCAUUGAUAUGGUAGUUGAGUGAUAUUCUUGAAACUUCAAAGGUGUUAAGAGAUAUUGUCAUAAAUCUCGGGGGAGGUUUCUGAAAUUAUCUCUAGCCAAAAGAGUGAAAAUUAUAUCCUUUUAUAAGUUCGAGGGGGUAAUAAUAUGCACUUCAUAGUUGAAGGGCUAAAAGUCAACUAAUUAUAUAAUUUGAGAGCCAUUUAGAUUAAUUGUCUAAUUUUUUAUUUCUUGCAAUUAUUUAUCCAAGAACUAUGGUUUUACACCACUCUAGUCUUUUAGUAGUUGUUUUGACCAAAUCUUGUAUUUUUGACACUACUGACUACUAAGUAAGGGGGCAUGUUUGAAUAUAUUUAGCCUCACAUAGUCACAUGACAUCAAACAUGUUAAAUUUAUAUUAGUAUCUAAGUAAGUAUCAAAAGAUUGGAUUUUGAAUGCCUCAAAAUCUCCAAUUCAAUUCGUUUUAAGUAGAAAUACUCUCUAAAAUUUUGCUUAAUGUCUAGUUUGAUUCAAACUGCUUGUUUCAAACUGCAUACUUUUAAUCAAAUGUCUAAUUUGUUUCUAAUUAUACUCAAAAUAAAAAAUACUAUAGUUGGUAAAUUUCUCAAGGUUCUCAGAAGUUGCUCAAGAUAGAUUCAUUUAUGUUUGUUCUUCAUUUUGGAAACUUCAUCUGGUCUAAAUUAACAUAAGGUACUCCAUCUAAACAAACAUACGGUUAAUGUACCAUAACAAUUUGGUUGGAAUGGUGCCUACUCCACUGUAUAACAACCUUUGAAACACAAGUUUAGCUACUUAUUUUAAGUAUCCUAAUAUUUUUUUGAAAUUGCCAUGAUUUUACUAAUGGUAUUGAAUUAGCUCUAAUUCACUGGCUUUCACCUAACUUUAAAUAUCUCUAUAGGCAUUGUAUGAUUUCAUAAGGGAAAUUGUAUUCCAAAAUUCCUAGUACAAUCAUUUCUAGAUUUAUAACUUUGACUUCGAGCCUAGUUUUUGAAACUUAUAUCAUUUGGCCUUGAUUUUGAUGAAACAUUCAUGCUCUUGGCCUAUUCAUAGGGAGACCUCUCUCUUGUUAGUUUUCUUCUACAAAGUUUGUUAAAAAAUUUUUAUAAGAAAACUUAUAUCUAUCCCAAUCUUUUAAAAUUGUUUGGUUUACUUUCAUUUGCCUUCACUUGAAAAAGUACUUCAAUUAUGAUUAUUAUUUAGCUCUAGAGAGAAUUCAAUUUGAGGUCAUCACUCACCUAGAAAAUUCUUAGUUGUUCAAAAGGACUGAAUUAUACUUUAUUUUUAUUAUCUGUUUGGGUGUUCAAUUUUCUGAUAUAAAAUCAAGACAAUGUGAAAAUUUGUUUUGUUUUUUUGCUAUUGCUUAAAAGGUAUCAUAGUAGGAUGAUAAUGAGUCAAAGAGAUAAAAUUGCAUUAUGAAACUUUCUUUUCUAUUCUUGAAGAUAUUAAAUCAAUAUUCAUGGCAAAGAUUAGUUUGAGUUUUCAUUAAUGUGACAUUAUUUAAAAUAUUUCUUUGCAUUUUAAACUAGUUGUUAUAUGACAAAAAUGUUUUUAGAAAAAGAAAAAUAAUGAUGGCAUACCCAUAAUUUUAAUUAAGAAAAAGGUAUUCUACAAAUACACUUUUGUGAAACUUAACAAGUAACCUAUAUAUAUAUAUGUCUCGUCAGUAGGAUUUGUGGAGUUUCUUUGUUUGUCAAACAAAGAACUUUUCUCAGUUAGUUUUGAAAAUUUUGAAAGUAAAAUACAAUUCCACUAUUCUAUAUUUACUUUUAAUGCAUAUAAAAGUUUUACAUCAAAAUUAUUUUUAAAUAAGUACUAUAUCAGUUUUGGAUAAAAUCUUAAAUGGCCAAGACACCAUGUCUUUUUAAAAUUAUAAACAUGAUGUCUUCAAUGUAUAUAUGAAAUCCAUUAAAAGGUAUAUUGUGAAAAAUUAAAUGAAGUACCUAUCUUCGUCUUGUUCACAACCUAUAUCCGGACAGUUUGUUUAAAAUUUAAUGCCCUUAUAUUCACAAUUUUGGACUUCUUAAUCAUUUUAAUACUAAAAAGAUGAAAAUUCUGUGAAUGUGGUGUGAAUAUGAAUUAAUUUGUCACCCCAAAUGAAAUUAUUAUCUUUUCAAGUCAGAUCAAGGUGUAGAACAAAUAUAUUAGAUCAAAAUCUAUGGACCUGGAUUUUUUGAGUUUUUGGUCGACUAAGCGAAAUACCUUUAACAGCAAAUUCAAGGUAUUUUUAUCAAAUCUAAAAUAAUCUUGUUGUAGCCUCAUGUUGAACUCAACUUAGGGCUGCUAGCAAUCUAAAAAAUCAUAAGUAGAAGAAAGACAAAACUCUCUACUAGCUAUCAAGAAAAUAUGUACAAAUGAUUACAUAUCUUUGCAUGGUGAUGGCAAUAAAUAAAACUAAUAUACAUCCACUAUCAUAUUUACAAUGAUAUAUCAUACUUAUAGUAAUGAGUUCUAAGGAUAGCUUGUUUUGUAGCAAUAAAUCACAUUCAUGCUUUGGCAAGUGAGUUUUUUGGGUGUUUGUCUAAAACUUUACUGUAGCUUACAGUAGAAGUUUUUUAAAAAAAUUUUGAAGUGUGUUUUUUUUUAAUAUUUUAAAGUGUAUAGUUUAAAAUUUUUGAAAAAUUUUUUGAGGUUACUGUAGCUAAAGUUUUUUAAAAACUUGUAGCAGACAAACUUGGCAAAAAACAUGGCUGCCAAACAAGGCGCCCUUAUCUUACUUUUUCUCUUAUGCUGAUGAAAUUUUUUUGAUUUUUGAUUUUUCCAAUUCAGCCAUACAAAUGCAACAAAAAAUGGGUUGUUGCUUUGAAUCCUCUUCCGCACUGUGGUUCAGGUGCACAAAUUGAGGGAGAUGUAUCAUGUGAUGUGUGUAAGAGAAGAUUGAAUGACCCUGAUCAGUAUCGCUAUUGUUGUAUUGCCUGUAAGGUAGAAUAGACUAGAAAUCAAUUCUUCUGUAAGUUUUCACAUUGUUUUGUAUUUUUUUUAAGGUUGCAUCAUUAUGGUAACACAUCUCUUAGUUCCUUUUGUUAAAGGAUAAAAAAUUCUAUUAUGUGAAUACAUGAUUUUGAAUCCUGCAAUGUGCUGCUAAAUGGGAGAGUGGUAGGGAGAUUUCUAUAGUUCAAAUUUUCCAAUCAAUUUCAUUUGCAAGUAUAAAAAAAAUUAAAAAGUUCAAAACCAUAGGUAUACUUUUUACUUUUGCAUGUCUAAUGGCAUUACUAUUCUACAAAAUGAAACUAACAUAAAUAGUAAAAUGAUUUAAAUUAUGUUCUAUACAAAAAAGUAGCAAGUGAUAUACAUAUUUUGGUAUUUUUAAGAUUUUUUUUGGUGCUUACAAAAUAACUUGUUGGACAAAUUCAAAACUUCAAUUCGCCCAUCUCUCAAUUAUGCUAAACUAACUCUUGGAGUACUUAGAUAAAUAGGUGGAUUUAAUUCUAGGGAUUGGUAUAUAAGUGCAAUGCAUCUCUUUCAUAUGUAGAAUAUUUUGCAAGUAUGAGAAAUUGACUUCCCUUACUACAUACUCCCUCCAUCCACUAUCACUACCAUGGCCUUAUAGUCAUUUUGGACCAUAAGAGAUAAUUUUAAAAAAAUAAAGGAAAGACUAUAGUAAUUCUCUACUUAUAAGCAUACAUUUUCUCCUUGUUCUAUCAUAAACUAUCUUUAUAAUAUUACUUUAGGAUCAUCAUAUUUAUCAGGUUAUAUUACUAUAAAACAUGCUAAAAUGAGGGUUUUAGAAAAGAAGAAUGGUGAAGUAGAGACAUGGAUGAGAUAUUGAGACUUUAGGAGUGGGCUUGCAAAAUAUAAAAAUAGAACAAUAUAGGAAUAGGCUAAUCUAUCUAUGUUGGCUACAAAUAGGUGCUGACAUUCUAGUAAGUAACAUAAAGAGGAUGUUUUCAUAAGGGGACUUUCAGUAUCGUCACCAUAUAAGGGUGAUUUAGACCCAAGAUUCAAGAGUUAGUGGUUGAAAAGGUAACUUAUGUGAUUUGGCAUCGAGAAAGGGCUUUUGAGAGAGUGGGAAAUAGAUGUAGAUUAGAAUCUAAGGAUGAUUGUAAUGAAAGAUAUAAGAGGUAGGAGUAUGAAAGACAACUUGUGAUAUGGCAUUGUUGAAUAGAGGAGUUUAAAAGGAUGAAAAAUGUGUUUAAGUUAGAGUACAUAAGAAAAUCAAUGAAAUAUCAAUUGGAUUAGAUGUACCUUUUAAAUAUUAAUGGGCAAAAAAAAAAAAAUUUUUUUGGUUUAGUCUAAGCAAAUUUUAUCAUAUUAAUAUUCCAAGGUAGUGUAAAGCCAUGAUUCAAGUUGUUGGUGUUACUUGGAAUUGAGUGAAAGUUCAAAGAAUACAUGGCAAUUAAUGACUCUUUACUCCAUAUGUUGUUGCUUUACAUUGUACCAUCCUUUUCUUAUUUAGUCGGAAUUUAAAGACUCAUCGUGAUUAUGCAUUCUUAUUUCUUUUCACUUGAAUAUCUAUAGGUGGAAGCAUUUUCAAGGAAGAGAAAAGAGAUGGAGGGUUCAUCACUAGAGUGUACAAUUGUUGAAAGGCCAAAGCGCAGAAGAAAGGGAGUCCCUCAAAGAGCUCAUUUUUAUUAGGUCUGGACUGCAUGUACCAUCUACUGAUUCAUGCUUUAGACAUAAUAUCUACCAAUCCAAUUCAACAUUACUGUUGCCUUGUGAGCUUCAAUUUUCACCAGCAUAAGUGGAAAAGUUUGUGACUAAUUCGAUCCAACUACUUUGGAUUUUGGUUCAACUUUUAUUUUAUUGAACUUAGUUGUAUGGGAUAAUUUGGUCACAAUUUGAAUUUUUUGAUGGUUGAUGCUGUUAAUUGACAAUUUGAGGUUGUCUUGUGGUAAACUUAUUAGGACUUAAAGUAGAAAUUGGUUCAUAAGUUUUCAUGGGUUCUUUUUAUGGAUUAAGUUCAAAUGAUAGUAGACUUGGUUGUCUUGGAAUCAGCCUUCCUCUUUGAUUAGCCCCCAUUCAUAGGCAGCAUCAUACUAUUCAUGACUUGGGAUCCGAUAACAUAUCAUGAGCUUAUAUUUAACCUUAAAAUUCAAAAAACAGGUGACAAUAGCGUUUCUUAUCUGAAACCAUACAAGUUCUUUUAUUUUUUGUUUGGAUGCAGAUAAUAUAGUUGUGUAACAACUAUAUUGUCUGUGGAGCCAGUAGCUCAAUCAGGCGAAGUUUUUCCUCUUUUUUAUGUGUAUCAUAUAAAUGUUUUCAAAAGUUGCAAUAGGGUAGUAAUAUUGGAAAAUUAUCUCAUUGAAGAAUGGGUUUUAAUAUUAUUGUUUAAUAUUUUUUGUUACAAUAAGAAUAAAUUUAUCAUAAUUCACACUAAACAAAUUUUAGAAUUUUUUGCCAAAAUAACUAUCUUUCUAAAAAAUAUUCUCAAUGUAAUUCACUUUCAAAUUUUAUUUCGAUAAUGAUGUUGCUAUUGCCACCUAAUUAUCCUAACUGCUACGCAGAAUAAUAGGAAAGGAAAUGUUUCAAAUUUUAUUCUCACGUUAAUCUAUUUAUUUCCACAUAGAUUCCCAAAUUAAAAGGAAAAUGACCAUGCGUAAAAUUUAUUCGAUAUAUCCAAUCUACUAAAAAUUGUACUCUUGUUUUCUACUACCACCAUUGUAUCUCUUAGAAUUGUGCUUAACUACUAUAUUGCAAUUCUUUUCUUUUUUUUCUUGCAAUUUGUAAUUAUAUCUAUGAUAAAGUUCUAAAUCUAUUCAUUUUAGUAUUUUGUAGUAUUUUAUAUUAGAACACAUGCACAUAAAUUCUGGACAAAAAAAUGAUCAAAAUUUAAUUUGACAUAAAAGAAUUCCAUGUCAAAAGCAAAAGGAAGUGAAGAAAAAUCUCUUGCAUUCGAAAACCAUGAUUACUAGCAUAUGAAUUUAGCCUUGACAAUAUCAAGAAUAACAUAAUAUAAGAGUCAAGGAUUGUUAACCACUGAUCUUUGGAAAACAAGCAUUGUGUUUUGAGAAAAAGUGAACUGUCUUUCUUGUUCAUUCAUUAAAAAUAAAAAGAACGAUUAAUGUAAUGAGGAGGGAUCAUAAUGAAAAAAAUGGAAAAUAUAACAUUUCGAGUCCGUUUGUUUCGGGUGAAAAUGUUUUCCAGGAAAAUAUUUUCCUAAUUUCCCGUGUUUGGUUGCACAAAAGUUACUGAAAACAUUUUCCUAUGUAAAAUAUUUUCACUCAUCUUAUGGAAAACAACUUCCCUUCCAAACUUACUGAAGUUGUUUUCCGAAAUGCAUGCAUCCCGCUGUAGUAUGUUCCAAACUUACUGAAAACAUCUUGUAGUAUGUUCUUUUUUUUUUUUAGUGUAAACAGGAGGACUCGAAUCCAAGAUCUCUUCCUUACACUCCCUCCCCGUACCACCCAACCCAACCCAACCCAACCCUCCCCCUAGUAUAUUCAAAAUAAAAAAAAAAAAUCUCAUCCUGCUCAUCCUAUGCUAGUAAUUAAUUAUGUAUAAUAAGGACAUUCUUUUCUAGAGAAACUUUCAGCAGUGAGAGUGCAAGAUAUAUGUCACAAUAAGCAUUACAUGUGAUUGAUAUUUGACACUAAAUGGCCAGCAAUUUGUUUAUUGCUUAAGGAGAUAUUUUUUUAUUCAUAUAUACAUUUCUCCAAGAUUUUUUAAAGUUAAACAAUGAGAUAAAUUUUCUUAUUUUGCAUGGGAAGAAGUAUGUAGUUAUAAUGUGUAAAAAGUAAAGAUAUAGAUAAAAGUGAAAAUAUUUCAAAAGUUAAACAAACACCAGAAAAAUGAAGUAAGAAAAUAUUUUCAAUAAGCUAACCAAACACCUGAAAAUGAUGAAAGGGAAAUGAUUUUCAUGGAAAAUUACUUCCACGGAAAAUAUUUUCCCAAGGAAAACAUUUUACUUCCAACCAAACAGACCCUUCGUGGGAUUAGUUUUCCUUUCUGGGCGUGUACAUUGCAAUAUAUACACUAGACAUGGAAUAAAGUUAUUAGUUGUAUUAGUUUGGGAAUAUUUUAUGAAUAGAAGAUUUUUUGGUUAAAAACUUCAAUUUUUAAGGGUUUGUCUAACAAAUGUGCAAUAUAGACUUUAGGUGUUCAUAUUUUGGAAACGAAAUGUGGGGAAAGUGUAUAAAUGUAAGGAAAGAUAAUAAUUAUUAAUUUGUACAUUCAUAUGAUAAAUUAUGUAUGAUUUUAGUGUAUUAAAAAGUGGUAAGUUAGGUGUGAUUUAGGUGUAGUUACAAAUGCCCAUUAGCCACCCGUUGGGGAAAUCCAAUUUUUAGAAUAAAGUUUACGAAAACUUAAAACACAAGAUGAUGUAAUACUGGACUGUCCACAGGCAUAGUUAUAAAAUUCGACCCGAUUCGACGGUCAAACCAGUUAAUUAGGUGAACCGGCCAUAAGACUGGGAUGAGUUGUUAAUUAAAUCAGCUAAACAACAAAUCCAUUGACCUGUUAACAAUCUAGUGAUUCAAUCGGUAAAUAAAAAAAAUCGUCAAUUGAAUCGCAGGUUGAACCACUAACUUAAAAAUUUUACUACUUUUAUAAUUUAAAAUAUAUUAUUACAUUAUGUAAGAUAACUAUUGUGCAACCUGCAGUUAAACUGCUUAACCCGCAAUUAAACCAAUGAUCCGAUGAUCCAGUCUCCUCUCCGGGUUGAGCUCCGAAUGGCGUUUAAUAAUUACUAGUUUUUGGGCCCUGCACCAAGCGCAGGGUAGCCUGUGUUGGGGGUGAUGGAUUUUGUUAUGUGAUUGGGAGGAUUUUGUUGAUGGAAAGACCAAGACACCCGGCCCCACGAAGUCAAAGUCAUCAGAAUUACCAUCGAAACCGGCCCCACGAAGUCAUCAAAAUUACCGUCGAAACCGACCCAUGACUGCACUGUAGCUAUUCCCCCUUCCCCCUUUUAUAUAUUUAAGAUGUUCACAGGUUUUCAGUGAAUUGUUUGCUUGAUUUUCUAGGCCUUUACUCAAUAAAAUUAACUUGCAUAAUCACAACAUUAUAUAAGAGCAAUAAAAAAUGGAAACAAGAACCUGUAUUCAAACAAGUUUUGCAAUUCUUUCUCUUUUUCUUAUCCUGUAUUUCUUUUCAUUUUAUGCACCUUGUUACACAGGAUGUAACAAAUGCUAAUACAAAAAGUUUUUGCAACCCGUGAGAAUGACACGAUGAAUGCGAGCGACUGUAUAUUCGUGAACUUCUUUCGUGAACUUCUCUUCUGUAGGACAUCUCAACCAGACUAGAGGAAAAAAACAUACCAGUACACAACGUCAUUUCAUUAUUUUCCAUUGCAAUGGCAGAUGUAAAAGGUACAAAAGAAAUUCGCAAAUAUUACAAUUUCUGCAGCCUGCAAGCAAGCAGCCAAAAAAUAAGAUAGAUACAUUAGUAACAAAUUUGGAGCAAUUGCUCGAGUUUGCAACCCUAGCAUAAAUAUUCUUCGAGAUUUAACUCUUCUGAUGAACAGCAACAUGGUGUACGUCCAUAUCCUUCAACA